This is a long non-coding RNA of Oncorhynchus tshawytscha (Chinook salmon), 1564 nucleotides long. NCBI's taxonomy places the organism in Eukaryota, Metazoa, Chordata, Actinopteri, Salmoniformes, Salmonidae. The record is from Ensembl.
UUUAUCCCAUCAUUAUGUGAAUGAUAAACAUAAUUCACUGGAUAACUUCCAAUUACUCAACUAUCCUUAUGCCAUAACAGAGGAAACAUUAUUAUGGAAAUGAGUAAUGAGCAUUCUUUUUGGACAAGACUCAAUUUAAAAAUGUUAGUUCCUGUUUUAUUGUUCAUUCUGAAUGUGCACCUGGCCUCAUCCAACAUUCUCCUAAAUCCUGCCAAUCUGCUGUUGUCCAAUAGCGCCCCCUCUAGGGAUCCAGGAGGAACAGCAGUCCCAUACAGAUGACCAGCAGAAGAAACAACAGGUCUCAUAUAAAGUGCUCCCCUUCAACACCCAGGUGUAGUGCAUCCUGGGAUGCGGUUGGAGGUACAGCUGACAGGCUCCCAGAGGGAGGGCCAUAAAAUGCUCCAGCACACUCAACUGCCCCUCCCCUCUACAACAGCCAACAGCCCAGAACAGCAUGAAGACAGAACAGCUAAAAGAUCAUCUGGGAAUCCUUCCUUCCUCAUGGAGAUUUUUGAAGUUUCACUUUGAGUCAAGUUCUGGAUAUGUUGGAUCUAGGUGACCGCCCAGACAAGGCAUGCAACAUUACAGUUAUCCCUCAAAAUGAGAAAAAUGCUGUCCUCAGUGAUUGUGAUAGCGAUGGGUCAGAUAUGGACUAUGAGGGGGAGACAGGCCAUUUGCCUGCCAGGAUUUUGAAUGCAUAUGCUGAUCCUAUGCAAACAGAUCAUGACAGGAACAACGUUAUCAGUGAUGAUGACCCGCCCACCCCCCCAAAACACACUUUUGAUAAUGAAGAGCCAACGGCCACUACCUGCCAGAGGGUCCAGUCAGAAGAGCCAAGGGCAAAGCUGCAUGUGGUCAAAAAUAAAGAUUGAGUGUUCAAAUGAUCGAAGAGGCCUGCCACUGCUGUGAUUCCAAAACACAUAGUAUACAGCCCAAAUGCUGCAGAAUGUGUAAAACAAAGCUGCCCCAACCCAAUGGAUGUUUUCCUAUUAAUGUAUCCAUCCACCCUAACUUUGCAACUCUAAAACUACUUCCAGCCUGGACAAUAAAAACACAAUAAUGCUGUGGAAAGUAACAGCAGCAGAAUGUAUUUUUUUUUAAACAUACAGGAGCACUAUAAAAUAAAAUGCAUUGCAGAACUUAUGCAGUAUGUUAUUUACAGACAGCUACAGUGGACAAGUCAACUUCGGCAGCACAUGUGAAUGUGUCCCUCGUUAUUCUUGUGGCCAGUGGGCCUACUCAAAGUAUACUUUAUUAUUUUUGACAAGCAGGAUGCUUUAGCUCAGAUUAUAAAAGACAUGAAUCAGCAUUAACGCAUUAUGCAGAGGAUUGUCUGCUGUCUAUGGAUAGAUCCCAUCCCAAGUGCAUAUUCCUCGCAUAUUCCUUCUCAAAACCCAUUAGAUGAGAAAGCCAGAGGUCCCUCCCCUCUGACCUUUUUCUCCAAAUGGUUUUGAGGAGCGAGGACACGAGUAUACAAUUCUCUCCCUGUAAAAUGGACUGAAUAAAAUGAACCUGUGAAUAAAAUACUGUACAUAGUCACUUAUAUUAAAAUCUAAUAAUAGAU